AGCACCACGGGGAAGGAAACUGUUUGAUUGAAGCGACGAUUGAAACGAUCCGAAAAACUAUCCUCCACGCGUCCCAAUCGAGCGUCUGGUGCGGUACGCAGUCUACAACGAACUCGCCAUUGUUGUUCUUCCGCAAGCACGCUUUAUAAGAGGCGAGAAGUUUGGCGGGCAAAAACAGCAACAUCCGCGCAAGCGCGCUCACCAAACGCGCAGCACAACAAGCCGGCAUUGUUUAUCUCCGCACGCCAUGUGCGCGCAGAAAACCCGUUGAGAGCGCGCAAAAGCAGCCCGCUCUCAGAGAACAAAACGGUGGCUGCUGCUGCUGCUGUCACCUUCGCCGGUGUCAACGCAUGAUUAGUAACGCCGUCCCGACCACCGCAUGCUACGAGUGUACGAGAGAGCGCAGCAGCAGCAUGCUUUCUCAUCGCAGCACGUGUUCGCGGUUGACGCCGUUUGCAUAUGCCGUUUUGGAGCGUGCCAGAUGAGUAAUCGACAGCCGGCGCGCGGUUGGGUGGCGUCGUCGCAAUGGUACCGAGUUCCCACUUUGUCCCACCAACAAUUAUGUGUGGGGGAGGAGGGCGACUGCGUUUGCAGUUGCACCUAUAAGCCAGGCACCACUGCUGCACUGCACCGCGGAUCGUAAUCAGCGGAAGUUGCAUUGCAAACGCGCUCGCGCGCAGGGUUAUUUCGCUGCUGCGCUGUGUGUUCUGUGUACAAAUCGCGAAAUAGUUGAAGGUUUCUUAUCGGUCACACCCCGAUUCGAGCGGAUGGGCCUAAGCCGACGGGUGUGCGGAUGUUAUUAGACGCUCUUCAAUCUCACCUCUAAUCGUGCUGCGUGCUGCAAGCCGGUGCCACACGCCACUCUAAGGUGCAGCAUAUGCGGCAACCGACUGACCGUCCUCGGUGUCGUUGACUUCUUCGAUGCUGACGGAGAUGAAUCACGGAGCGGUAACUUCCGCAAAAAAGGUGAAAAAUGGGAUUGUUUUUAAUAUAGGCCCAAGUUUGGGAAUGGAUGACAUUGGAUUACAGCAUUCGAAGGUAAUAAGAUCACCAUUGAAUAUCCAUCCCCGGGGUAAAAGUGGAUGCAAGAGUUGUAGUGACACAGAUCCCUUUCCCUACGAUUGUUCGUCUGAAUCAAAUCAAUUGAGCCUUCAAUUCGUUGUAACCUUGCCUUCCUCCCCGGUCCCCCCGCGUACUUGUAUCCUUCGAUGGUUAUCUCCACUUCCUAGCUGGCAGUCCACCAAACUCGAUGCGAGUAUCUCGUGCAAACAUCCCAUUCAACAUUCGCAAUAAGAAUACCCUCACCGGUCUGAAUGCGUGUGGCAACCGUCAUCGCACAAAAUUGAUACCUUCGAUCCAUCCAACCAGUGGACCCAAUGACACUCCUCAGUGCAAACGUUCUGAGGAAUUGAUUACAGCGCGUUCUCCAAAGCUCCGUAUUCCGUCGCAAUUUGUGCCCCCAUGCGGCUCAACCAGACUGCCACGCUUCUGCCACGCUGUGCAAAUGGGCAAACAAUUUCAAGUGUAAGGUCAACUGCUCGAUGCCAGCUUGUCGCGGCCGCGGGUACCCCACGGGUGGCAUUAGACGCGUCUGUUUGCGUCUCUUUCAACCGCUUUCAUUGAUUAGCGAUUCCGUAUGAAGCGAUCGUAAGAUAUUCACACAUACACACACAUGCAAGAUUGCAACGAAAUAGAAUACAUUAUUAUUACAAAGACAUGUAUUUUUCUUCCACAUACCUCCCAAUAUCCUCCAACACAGACACACAUCACGACGGUGCAGAGAGCACGUUGAACUCCAGCAAUCGACGACUACUGGGAUCGUGUUCCAAUGUUCGAUGAGCGGUGCCAUGCGGAAGGUAUGUCAGCGUCGUCGAUUGCUACGAUCUUGCCAUUUGUCUCUCGGCUGCACGUGACUGCAGCCCGUUCCCAGGGCAACCGCCCCGCUUCGGGUUCACUACUGGCUAGUCACGUGUGUUUGCGUGGCUUACGAUGACGGCUUCGCGGGUGCACCGACCUCCCCUCGGUGCCGCAUUCUUUGCGCACACACUACGCUGCACGCCCCAAAAAAGGGGAAACGAAACGGGACAGGAAGCGGUAUGAAUUUAUUAUUUCACAAUUUGUCACCAUCCUCACCAGUAGUGCUCCUCCUCCUCGUGUUCCAACCACAACAGAUUGGGGUUGGUUCGUGCACCGUUCGCGCGUUCGGUGCCGCAGGAAGUUCAAGGUUGUCAUACGGCGGUGUACCGGUGCAUUGACACAUUGCUUGUUGGGUGCCUUAGAACGGUGAUCGUUUGCCGUUGGAUGUGCAAGUGAAGUGUCCCCUCAUGUGUGUGUGUGUGUGUCAUUUCUUCGUCCAAAAGGCUCCCCCACCACUCGAGAUAAGCAGCAGUUUUUGUUAUUGUUUCUGUGCGUGUGCGUGUGUGUGUCUUUCUCUCCGUGCUGGACCACAAACUGGCUCAAAGUGGUUCCGCUGUCCGACCGACCAGGUGUAACCAGGCACCGGAAGAGGAAUAACGCAAACAAACAAACGCAAACAACCGCAAACACCCAUCGCCUGUGUUGAGGGUAGAGUACUUUUUGAAUAAGUGAAUUUAUGCAGUGCUUUUACAUACAAAGAAAGAGUAAUGUGGCGUUGUCGUCGGCGUCGUCGUCGGCAUUGCUGCUGGUACUCCACCCCCGGCACAAGUGGAGCUUCAUUUGCAUUCUGGCGCCUUUUUUGUGUUUGUGUUUGGAGCCGUCAAAAACACAUAUCGUCCAGCAUUAUAACGGGGCGCGAACCGGUGCGUGAGCAGAAACGUUGAAAUGCAAAUUGACGGGCUCAUUUAUGCAAGAUAAAUGGCUCGAUUAUCAGGUGAUCGCAAGUUGUGAUGAAAAGGCAGCAGUUUCGGUUGCCCCGUUACUAUUCAAAUCCUGCAGCAAUCGAUGAGCCGACGAGUGAACGAAUGGUGCUUGUGCGCGGUAACAAAGGCGAAGAAGAUGCUGUUAAACACACACACACAAUUGUGCAGAACAGUGUCCUUGGAGAUCAAGAAGUGACAGCUCAGAGUAGCUAUUAUUGUAGCUAAUUGAUAUUGAAAGGGAAUUGCUACGUUAACUAGUGUAAAGAAAAAAGCUAUCUAUCCGAAGUUCAGUGAUAUUUACGUUAGAAAUGAACAUGCAAUAGCCCUACCCCAAGUGGCCCCCCUCUCCCCAUCUACCACAACUAUAUUAGGUCCAUUAUAAUCAUUUUAUUUUUACAGGAUACUUGAAAUACAUUUUUAAAAAGUAUUAACCGUAAUACAGUUUCAAUUAAUCUGCAGCUAGUUUAUACGCAUUUUGUUUGUUGGGUUUUGUUUGUUUGUUUGUUCUCUUGCUGUAGGAUUAUUAAUUUUGAAUUAGUGUUCGGUAAGAUGGGUUUGUUGGAAAUUGUUUCUUUUAUACCAUUUUUUAUACGAAAUGUACCAAAAAAGCAUUUUGUUCGCAUAUUCUCCCCCCCCCUGUCCCUUUUCUCGCCUACCGGUCCUUUCCCUACCACUGCCCGUUGCGCGCUGUCCUGCUCCUUAUCAGUAAAUACAUACUUGUGUGAAAUUGUGUAUCUGUGUGUGUGUGUGUGUGUAUUUGAUUAGUAGGUGUGCAAAGUGAUGUCUCUUUUUUCAGUGCAGAGUGUGAAAAGCGAACCAAUUGUAUCACUGGCUGUUGCGGGUGAUUAGUAUAACGCAUUACGUGCAAUGGAUUCUAAAACACAGACAAACGGGUAAAAGGUGUUGUAAUUAUGAAUUUUAAAACACUCAGGCCUCUAAUUAAAAUGCCGAAUUAUCACUGGGUCUGAUUUUGUAUUUGUGUGUCUUGUGUUUGUGAUUGGGAUUCUUACGAACUGCUGCUCGCUCGAAUCCAUACCAUCAUACGUAUGUAUAUGUACAAACAGCUUUUGCCACGCCCACUGCCAUAGCACGUGGCACCUUCGUCCUGUUGCUAGGAAACGUGGCGAUCCCACUACCAGCAUGGUAGCUGCGAUCUACAGCGUGGCCAAUGAAGCGAGAAAACAAUCCGAACAAAAUACUGUUGCCGCUUACAGCUACUUCUUACUACUGCUAACCCAUCUGGAGGAAGUGUGUACACGUUAAACUAGCGCAAAACAUAUUUAAAAACGAAUCAACAAGCUGUUUUAUAUGCCACAUCCAUAUGUGCAUAAUAGUAUCUUUGUGUGUGAGUGUGUGUUUUUUAGGAAUUAUGUCCUAUUAUAUCGUUUUUGGCCGUUAAUUUCGCAUGGUUUUUCCACCCCCCCUCCUUUUCUCGAGCAUCCUCUAACGCGCCUUGUAGCAUGUUAGCUUGCUUCGGGUUGCGCACGUGCGCGCUCACGAAAAGCAUAUGCAUGGAGGCGCAUGGUGAACUGAAUUGCAACACACACACCCGAACACGCGCGACAACAUCAACAACAACAACAACACGCAGAUCGUUACGGAGAUUGAUAAAAUCGCGAAUGCCAAUCAAUAGGGAGGCGCAUUUAAUACAAGGGAAGGAAACGAACAACGCAAAUGUACAACACAUUGUCGACGCAAGAGUUAAAUGCAUCAUGCAUAACGGUGUGUGUGUGUGUUUAUGUGUGUGUGUGUAAAUUGUGUCACAUAACGCAUCAACACCAUCAUCAGAGCCCAUCAUCAACAUCACCGUACGAGACGUUUGGAGGGCUAAUCUCACAGUUUGUUUCUUUUGAAUGCAAUACAAUUGCCGUUUUCAUUCACCUUCGGGGGUUUUUGGUUAGCAAAUAUUCAAUAGCCGUUUUUUUUGGCCGACCACCACACACACACACACACACCGAACAAGACCUCACACGAGUUGGAGCAAAGUUUCGCAAAAUCCCCAGGAUCCAAUGCUCCCGUGGUUCGGUCACCUGUGCUCCGUCCGCAUGGUGCAGCCUGUAGUGUGUGUGUGUGUGUGCGUGUUGUGUAUGGUCUGUAUGUGUGUAAUAUGUAGGUGUGUACGACUGUGUGUUUAAGUAUAUUCUAUUUACAAAUUUUCGAAUUCAUUUACGCUAAGAGUAAUUUCUUUGUUUGUAGCCAAACUUAACUAGAUAACAUUUCGUAAACUUUUGCUUUUGCUUUCUCAUCACCGUUCAUCCAUUAUCCAUCCAUCCAAUCAUCCCAUCAUCCAGUGCAUAUAUGCUUGCACGGUGUGAUGUGUUCGCCACCAUGGCCAUACUCCCUCCUCUCCUAAUCCUCCUGCACUUCUUCCCCUUCCCAUUGCACUUUGUUGCACCUCUUCCGCUCAUUUCAGUCCCUCUCCUGCAGGUGAAAUAUUCACGCCCUGGCGUGAAACAGUGCUAGGGCAUUGAAAAGGAUGUUUAAAAUUGCCUUCGCUUCGGUGGCCUCAAGUAGUGAAAUGGUGUGUGUAUGUGAGAGCUUGUAAGAAAAGCGUACAACAAAAUAAUUUCAGAAUCACAACAGAACGAGAAACGUUUAGCGUUUUACUUGCUAGCUUUACUUGCAUUUGUCUUGUUUCGUACUCCAAUCCCUUCUCCGCAGCUACUGCCUAGAUGUGGAUGUGUUUGUGUGUAUGCUUAGUAGUUACUUAUUUGCGCAGAAUUAAUGGCAAUAGUUUGGAGUUUUGUCUUUACCUUUUGACUUGUAGUUUUAUACACACGUAGAGCUUUUUGUUUUGUUUUAAAAGACAACAAGAGAUGGUAUGGUAGUUUACUUUCCCCUAAUGGCCAAUCAUUGGGUUGGGUAUCAAUCGCUAGGGAUAGCUAAGAGUUAGAGCGUGAGAAAGAGAUGCUUUUACUGCUUUGUUGAUCUUGUUCUAGUGUUGGUUGUUGUAAGUUUGUGUCGUGCCACUUUUGUCACCUGGUUCGUGUUCGCUCGCUUUUCCCAUCAUCAUUGCCAAACGCUUUGCUUGAAGGAGCCAAGGAGCUAAUCGCCCUCUCCCUCUCUCUUUCUCUUUCACACACAUAUUUUCUCACGGUUCGGAAUGUAUGUAUCAUUUAGCUAGACUUAUCAUUGUUCACGCUAGUAGCUCAACAUUGCAAGAAUAGGUGCCGAGAUCGCACGAUCGUUUGUGAUCAAUAUACGUCCUGAUCAACCAGCAUAUGCUGCUCGCUAUACCGUAAUGGAUGGAAGGAAGAUUGAAGAUCCUUCUACCCGGGAAAGGUAGAAGGUACCAGUGGAAGAGUGUUUUGCGAUAGAGGGAACAGAGUGUGAAGUCUUGAAGUUAUGGUGGAAGAAAAGAUCCAGUGAUUGCAUCCUUCAGUGGUAACAGCAACGUGUGGUGCUCCUGGAAGAGCUCCACGUGCUUUCUUCCUGCGCAUUACAAACCAUUUGCAUUCUUAGGUACCACAGCCCUUCAGACUGCCCGCGAACGGGGUGUAAAGCAGUUGCGUCACUGGCUUACCGAAACUGUGUCUGUGUGUGAGUCUUCAUUGUCCAUUCCAGCACUUUCUUCUCCGCUUCUCAUUCAAUAUUCUGCAAUGUUGUGUGUGUCAAACAAACAUAUGCUGCUAGCAUCCAAUCAUCAUUUCUACGGCUUUUACAUUCAUUCGAUUGCUUCAUAAUUCCUCCUUCCUGCUCCCAUCACGGGCCCUUAUCCCUUCUUUUUAUGCUUUUGCGGUUUCCUCCAUCCUCCGUCUCCGUCUUCUUGUAUGUAUUGUAUUAUCACAAUUGUUUAUUAUUGCUGAUGAAUCUAUUCAAUCAACGUCAUUUGUUCAAACGUAAUAAUGAGUGUAUAUACUUGAACGCGUGUCUUCUUGUUUGUGUGUGUGUGUAUGGAUGUUUUAUGUUCUCAGUAGUGUGUCCGCAGUGUGUCGCGCCGUCUCUUAGUAUUAAGCCCAGCAGAAUUGGUAUAUGAUAAAGUUUCUUCACUUUUCUUCACGCUUCCAUCUUUUUCCUGACUUCUUGCUGGACCGCUCUGCCCAUUGUCUGUCCUCCUCAUCCUGCUCGUUACAUAUAGCCUUGGAUUAAUGCUUUUUUCGCUUUUGCGUUUUUCUUCCAUUUUAAUUAGUCGAACUUGUUUUCCCCUCCGAUCGGUGAGAUACCUCAAUAUAAUAUUGCAACCUUUAUCAUCUUUCAUCGCGCACUCCAUUCGGCUCACACGGCAACGCAGAAGCAUUGCGUAUCACUUGCGUGCGUGCGCUUAUGCUUUUUGUCCAACACACACACAUGUUUUGCUUAUUAUAUUAGCUUUUGCUUUGCGAUACAAUUCACUUCGGUGUUUGGUUUGUUUUUUCCCCCUUCUUCCCUUGGGUUUCCAAUGCCUUUAGGGUGUGUGUGUGUGUAAAUUUUCUUUCCGUGUUCCGUGUAUGUGACUGUGUGUGUUUUGUAUUACUUCUUUCUGCUCGCCUGAUAUGAUGUAAACGUGUCCAUUGCACAUUUACUCGCUCUCUUUGUUUGCUAAGUAAAUAAUGUUUUCAUUAAUAAUGUAUAAUAAGUUUGUAUAUUUAUAUUUAUUAUUAAAGUACGCAUUGCCUUUAAGGUUUAGUAAUUUCAUUUGCCCCCGUUUUUACUGUUCCGACCUUUUUUUGUUUUAUGUUUUUUUUUUGUGGCUGGUUUCUGUACCGUCUUAUGCACUUCUUCCCAGUGCUUACACACACACGCUUGGGGUAGCUUUGGAAUAUUUUUGUAUGUGUGUAUGAGUUUUUUCUCUUUCUUCUGUAAGUUUGUUUGUUACUUAUUUCAUUGAGAUUGAAGCUGUAUAUCGAGAUAAAAAUUGCUUGCAAACUAGUCCCCGAACAGUGCGCGUCCGUCAUAUCAGGAAAAUAAAUCACUUUCACGGUUGUUUUUUCUUCUUCUUCUUGUUCCGUUCCUAUCUUGGGACGAUUUGUAAUGGGGUGGCAGGUAAAUAG
Anopheles coluzzii is the source of this 7810-nucleotide long non-coding RNA. RefSeq lists it as uncharacterized. Lineage: Eukaryota; Metazoa; Arthropoda; Insecta; Diptera; Culicidae. The record is from RefSeq and is a predicted model, not a curated record. The transcript is spliced from 2 exons.